GGCUCAGGAUGAACGCUAGCUACAGGCUUAACACAUGCAAGUCGAGGGGCAUCAGGAAGAAAGCUUGCUUUCUUUGCUGGCGACCGGCGCACGGGUGAGUAACACGUAUCCAACCUGCCCUUUACUCGGGGAUAGCCUUUCGAAAGAAAGAUUAAUACCCGAUAGCAUAAUGAUUCCGCAUGGUUUCAUUAUUAAAGGAUUCCGGUAAAGGAUGGGGAUGCGUUCCAUUAGGUUGUUGGUGAGGUAACGGCUCACCAAGCCUUCGAUGGAUAGGGGUUCUGAGAGGAAGGUCCCCCACAUUGGAACUGAGACACGGUCCAAACUCCUACGGGAGGCAGCAGUGAGGAAUAUUGGUCAAUGGGCGGUAGCCUGAACCAGCCAAGUAGCGUGAAGGAUGAAGGCUCUAUGGGUCGUAAACUUCUUUUAUAUAAGAAUAAAGUGCAGUAUGUAUACUGUUUUGUAUGUAUUAUAUGAAUAAGGAUCGGCUAACUCCGUGCCAGCAGCCGCGGUAAUACGGAGGAUCCGAGCGUUAUCCGGAUUUAUUGGGUUUAAAGGGAGCGUAGGUGGACUGGUAAGUCAGUUGUGAAAGUUUGCGGCUCAACCGUAAAAUUGCAGUUGAUACUGUCAGUCUUGAGUACAGUAGAGGUGGGCGGAAUUCGUGGUGUAGCGGUGAAAUGCUUAGAUGUCACGAAGAACUCCGAUUGCGAAGGGCAGCUCACUGGACUGCAACUGACACUGAUGCUCGAAAGUGUGAGUAUCAAACAGGAUUAGAUACCCCUGGUAGUCCACACAGUAAACGAUGAAUACUCGCUGUUUGCGAUAUACAGUAAGCGGCCAAGCGAAAGCAUUAAGUAUUCCACCUGGGGAGUACGCCGGCAACGGUGAAACUCAAAGGAAUUGACGGGGGCCCGCACAAGCGGAGGAACAUGUGGUUUAAUUCGAUGAUACGCGAGGAACCUUACCCGGGCUUAAAUUGCAGUGGAAUGAUGUGGAAACAUGUCAGUGAGCAAUCACCGCUGUGAAGGUGCUGCAUGGUUGUCGUCAGCUCGUGCCGUGAGGUGUCGGCUUAAGUGCCAUAACGAGCGCAACCCUUAUCUUUAGUUACUAACAGGUCAUGCUGAGGACUCUAGAGAGACUGCCGUCGUAAGAUGUGAGGAAGGUGGGGAUGACGUCAAAUCAGCACGGCCCUUACGUCCGGGGCUACACACGUGUUACAAUGGGGGGUACAGAAGGCAGCUAGCGGGUGACCGUAUGCUAAUCCCAAAAGCCUCUCUCAGUUCGGAUCGAAGUCUGCAACCCGACUUCGUGAAGCUGGAUUCGCUAGUAAUCGCGCAUCAGCCACGGCGCGGUGAAUACGUUCCCGGGCCUUGUACACACCGCCCGUCAAGCCAUGGGAGCCGGGGGUACCUGAAGUGCGUAACCGCAAGGAUCGUCCUAGGGUAAAACU
Molecule: ribosomal RNA, 1447 nt
Filed under: uncultured organism
Description: SSU rRNA
Rfam family: Bacterial small subunit ribosomal RNA
Source: RNAcentral